CAAAGUUUGAUUGACGAGAUGCUGCUCUUUUGCUGUGGCUGCUGGUCCCUGUGAAGGAUUUUUUUUCUACCAACACUUGGAAUUCAUUUCCACCACAAGAGGGCAGCCAUCUCUAAAAAACAACCAGAAAGCAGGACUCUUCCAUAAAUAGGGCCAAAAUUGAGGAAGUUGUGCUUGGGACAGGCAUUCAGCAGUCCCUCAGAAAUCUUACAUCAUACUUGAAAGAAAUCCUGUGAUGGG
Molecule: long non-coding RNA, 240 nt
Filed under: Mustela putorius furo (domestic ferret)
Lineage: Eukaryota; Metazoa; Chordata; Mammalia; Carnivora; Mustelidae
Description: lncRNA (ENSMPUG00000027657.1)
Source: RNAcentral